UCCUUAUCGCUUUGCCCGCUAACAUACUACGUCGUGUGGGACUGUUGCGACUGCGGCAGCUUGUUGGAGUUUUUGUGAUGGCUGGACGUGUGUCUCUCCUGAAAACAAAUAAAGAUAUAACAUCUACGUAUGAAAUACUCCGCCUAUUAUAUCGAUUCUCAAAAUAAAGAGUCGCACUUGGAAGAGAUCGACAAUGGAGAGUGAUUAAUGGCGGGGAAUGACCUUGUCAAAGCUAAAUUACAUCGGAUUAAUUUUGGCGUAUACCUUCAUGCGGACAGGAAGCAUCAUCAUGUGUAAUAAUGACAUUCCAUUAUCUCGUGAUGCCCGAGGACAAAACAGAAUGCAGCGAGACAUCGCAUUGGAGUGCCUGCCUGGGGAACCCUUUUUCACGGUUCUUUCUGAUUUGUUCUUGCGCAAAUAUAUGAUACACGCAACUAAGCGACUAAUCGAAUGAAGCUAUACACGGAUCAAAAUCAAGCGUCACCCGAUCAGCAGAUAUUUUAUUUUACGCAUGCAGAUAUACACCCAGAUUAUACAGAUUCAUAUCCGGCGAGCGCAUGCUCAUGCUUAUAUCGGCAAGCGCGCACUCGUACAUACGCACAUACAUACAUACAUACAUCACAGAGAACAUUAAUAACACUAUUACAACAAUAACAGCGAUAAUGUAAUCCGGCGACAACGGUAAUUGUGCUCGUGAUAAUAACAUAGUAGCAACAGUAAGCCGUGAUGUACCCUUCACCAAGGAAACAAA
Long non-coding RNA from Ooceraea biroi (clonal raider ant), 751 nucleotides. RefSeq lists it as uncharacterized. The record is from RefSeq and is a predicted model, not a curated record. NCBI's taxonomy places the organism in Eukaryota, Metazoa, Arthropoda, Insecta, Hymenoptera, Formicidae.